RNAcentral lists this long non-coding RNA (789 nucleotides) under Homo sapiens (human). Its description in RNAcentral is "HSALNT0354707". Lineage: Eukaryota; Metazoa; Chordata; Mammalia; Primates; Hominidae. The record is from RNAcentral.
CAACUGGUGCAGAGGAGGAACUGCCAGAAGGCAGGAAGACUCCUGGAGAAGAAGUUGCAGUGGUCCUAGUGAGCCCCCCUGGUGAGCUGGGGCCACAGGGGGGCUGCCUCCUCUGGGCCCUUAGGACCCAUGGGCCCUCCGCACCACAGCACUGGCUGCCAGGGGCCAUGUUAUGUUCCCCACUCCUUUCCUAGUGUCCUUCUGGAGGCAGCCUCUGCAGUGAAAAGCCGGACUAGAAGAGAGGUGGGCUUGAGACCUGCUCUACCAUUUACUAACUCUGGGGCCUGAACCAAGUUACCUCACCGCUCCGCGCCUCAGCUUCCUCAUUUGCAAAGCAGUGAUGACAAUCCUCUUUCAGGGUGCUUGUUUGGCAUGACACUUACCAAGCCUCUCCAUGCUUCCUAUGAAUGGCUGCAUCAUCCCGAAAUGCUCCCUGCUGAGUAGACUAUUCUCCCCGUGCUUUUAAGACUCCCACGUUGAUUUCAGGAGGAAGCAACCAAACUGCAGACUUGGCCCUCGAAGCUCUCUGGAGCUGUGCAGUCUCCGGGCCGGUGUCCUGCACUAUUGCUCAGAAGGCUGGGCGCCAUCUAGAGGGCAACAGCGGCAACAGCCAGAAGGCAAGGAAAGCCGCAGUGAUUCCCAAACAUAACCAAAGGGGAUGCGGGGAAGCCUGCUUCUGGCUCUGUGGGUGGAUUCUAUAAUAAAAUGAAAUGUGAGAUCAUAGAACCUUUUAAUUCUAGCAUGUAGGAAUUAUGAAAUUAUAGAAAAAUUAACUCUCUAAGCUAUAGG